AAGCACUUGUGUUUGCAUGGCUGUGUUUCGGUUUGAACGGUGGUAUAUGGCGUGAAUUUACAGGGUACAGAGGAAUAACACCCGAGUCCUCAGGAAUGGCAACGCAUGGGGGGUAUCAUGGGCGAAACAGUAUACUCUGUUAUGUCCAUGGUACUGCUCAUGUCUAUGGGCGACGGUUACCACUUACCAUCAGGUGGGUCGUCAGCUUGUUUGCCAUUCUAAGUUGUAUAAAACACAAAAAAAUUUAGAAAAAAGUCAGUAAUUUUAAAAAUAACUAGGCUUAUAUGUCUAGGAAACUGUUAUUGUAUUGCAUUUUAUAGAUUAUAAAUGAAAAUCAAAUAUUAUUAUUUUAUUUUUUUCGUUUAAAUAACCAACGUUAUCAAUAAUGUGUGAAUUUAGGUUGUGUGUUCCAAUAUAGAAAAUAAAGAGGACUAUAUUCAAGUUAUAUAA
Galleria mellonella (greater wax moth) is the source of this 450-nucleotide long non-coding RNA. RefSeq lists it as uncharacterized. Lineage: Eukaryota; Metazoa; Arthropoda; Insecta; Lepidoptera; Pyralidae. The record is from RefSeq and is a predicted model, not a curated record. The transcript has 2 exons.